Molecule: ribosomal RNA, 460 nt
Filed under: uncultured bacterium
Lineage: Bacteria
Description: partial 16S ribosomal RNA
Rfam family: Bacterial small subunit ribosomal RNA
Source: RNAcentral
CCUACGGGAGGCAGCAGUGAGGAAUAUUGGUCAAUGGGCGCGAGCCUGAACCAGCCAAGUAGCGUGAAGGAUGAAUGACCUCCGGGUGGUAAACUUCUUUUAUAAAGGAAUAGAGUGAGGCACGUGACCCUUUAUGUCUGUACUUUUUCAUUCCAGCUCGGCUAACUCCGUGCCAGAAGCCGCGGUAAUACGGAGGUGCCGAGCGUUAUCCGGAUUUAGUGGGUUUAAAGGGAGCGUAGAUGGGUGGUUAAGUCUGUUGGGAAAGUUUGCGGCUCAACCGUAAAAUUGCAAUUGAUACUGGCAGUCUGGAGUACAGGUGAGGUAGGCGGAAUUCGUGGUGUAGCGGUGAAAUGCUUAGAUAUCACGAAGAACACCGAUUGCGAAGGCAGCUUACUAAACUGCCACUGACAUUGAUGCUCGAAAGUGUGGGUAUCAAACAGGAUUAGAUACCCGUGUAGUC